Molecule: ribosomal RNA, 327 nt
Filed under: Lutjanus argentiventris (yellow snapper)
Lineage: Eukaryota; Metazoa; Chordata; Actinopteri; Lutjaniformes; Lutjanidae
Description: partial 12S ribosomal RNA
Rfam family: Bacterial small subunit ribosomal RNA
Source: RNAcentral
GUCAGCUUACCCUGUGAAGGACUUAUAGUAAGCAAGAUUGGCAUAGCCCAAAACGUCAGGUCGAGGUGUAGCGUAUGGAAAGGGAAGAAAUGGGCUACAUUCCCUAACAUAGUGAAUAUACGAACGAUGCACUGAAAUACGCAUCUGAAGGAGGAUUUAGCAGUAAGCAGAAAAUAGAGCGUUCUGCUGAAACCGGCCCUGAAGCGCGCACACACCGCCCGUCACUCUCCCCAAGCUUACUUACUCUAAGUACUUAAAACCUUAAAACUGCAAAGGGGAGGCAAGUCGUAACAUGGUAAGUGUACCGGAAGGUGCACUUGGAAAAAU